CUGAUGUAGUGAUGAUUUCAUAGUUCAACGGAUCACCAUGAAGAAGAAACUUGUCUUGUCUUUCGCUCCUAUCUGAAGCAUCAG
This is a small nucleolar RNA of Fundulus heteroclitus (mummichog), 84 nucleotides long. Lineage: Eukaryota; Metazoa; Chordata; Actinopteri; Cyprinodontiformes; Fundulidae. The record is from Ensembl.